Molecule: RNA transcript, 4429 nt
Organism: Zingiber officinale
Lineage: Eukaryota; Viridiplantae; Streptophyta; Magnoliopsida; Zingiberales; Zingiberaceae
Gene name: protein RCC2-like
Exons: 15
Source: RefSeq, a predicted model, not a curated record
CCUUGUCACGCCAGACCAAACCAAACCUAAACAAUUAAAUCCCUCCCUUCCUUUCUCGUGCUUCUCCCUCAGAGCUUUCAUUUCCCCUCUGCCCUUUCUCUUUUUGCUUUAUUUGGGCGGUGAGCAAACCCUAGCUCCGCCGCCCGCCUUAGAUCGACCCUAGCCGCUCCGUCGAGAUGUCAGAAGCCGAAGCCGAAGCCGAGACGAAGCUGGAGGAGGAGAAGGCGGCGCUGCCAGUCGCCGGGGAGAUCCUCUACUGCGGGGGGACCGACUGGGACUCGCUCGGCCGGAAGGGUCCUCCAAAUGCCGUGAACCUCGCUUCGCCCACCAGGCUUCGGCCCCUCGUCGGAGUUGAUAUACGCUUCGUGGCUUCUGGCUGCACUUCUUGUCAUUGCGUGGCUUUGGAUGCUCAAGGACGUUGCUACACGUGGGGAAGAAAUGAGAAAGGUCAGUUGGGACAUGGGGAUACUCUUCAACGUAGUGUUCCAACAAUUGCGUCUAAACUAUCCAAGUAUAAGAUUAUCAAAGCAGGUGCCGGAAGAAAUCAUACUGUUGUUGUUACCGAUAAAGGGAAAUCUUUCUCUUUUGGGCUGAAUAAACAUGGGCAGUUGGGAACUGGUUCAGCGAAAACUGAAAUUGAGCCAUCUCCAGUCGCAUGUAUGGUUUCUGAAGCUACAAAUGUUGUUUGCGGUGCUGAUUUUACUGUAUGGCUUUCAUCAGUGGAAGGGUCUUCAAUUCUGACUGCUGGUCUUCCUCAGUAUGGACAACUUGGCCAUGGAACUAAUAAUGAGUACAACUCUAAAGACAGCUCAGUAAAGCUAGUUUACGAGCCCCAGCCACGCCCACGUGCAAUAGCUACAUUAUCUGGGAAAACUAUUCUCAAAGUUGCAUGUGGAACAAAUCACACAGUUGCUGUUGAUUCAAACGGCUUUGUUUACACAUGGGGGUUUGGUGGAUAUGGAAGGCUGGGCCAUCGGGAGCAGAAGGAUGAGUGGGCUCCACGUCUUGUGGAGGUCUUCCAGAAGCAAAAUGUUUUACCUCCUAAUGCUAUAGUAUCAGCAGGUUCUGUAAAUUCUGCCUGCACUGCUGGAGGAGGACAACUGUACAUGUGGGGAAAACUAAAAAUUACUGGUGAUGAUUGGAUGUAUCCCAAGCCUGUGAUGGACUUAAGUGGUUGGAACAUUCGUUGCAUGGAUUCUGGUAAUAUGCACCAUCUUGUAGGAGCAGAAAAUUCAUGCAUAAGUUGGGGUCAUGCUCAAUAUGGGGAACUUGGCUAUGGCCCUCUUGGACAGAAGUCUUCUGCAAAUCCAAAAAAAGUUGAUAUCCUUGAGGGCAUGCAUGUCAUGAGUGUGGCUUGCGGGAUGGGCCUUUCACUUAUUGUAGUUGAUAGAACAAAUGGUGGUGAUAGACUAGAUCAGGUAUGCAUUGGAAGACAAACAAACUUUAUUAUACUUUCCUCUCUCAUUUACCAUAUUAUUAUUUGAUUUUUUUAAUGCAAUAUUCAAUCCUAAGUAUGUUUGUAUAAUUUGGUUUGCUUGCCAUAUUGGAUUUGUUUUUCAUACCUUUCUUAGUGUACAGUUUCUGUAUUACAGUUGCAUAUGUAGAAAGGUAAGUUGUUUCAUCUAUGUUAACAUGCCCAACUAUUGGAUUCUCUUUGUUGGCCAUGUCCUUGGUCCAUCAUUUAGCUGUUAGUAUCUUUUGGUUCCUUUGAACCAAUCUAGUUAUUGAUUGUUGAUCCUUAAAAAAUCAUGGUAUUGAUUUUUAUUGGAGGUUUUUCUCCUAGGUUUGUAAUACCACACUUGAUCGUAAAGGCCUAUUUUAUUGCUUUGUCACAAAUAGUUUCAUAGACUGCCUGAAGAAUUGCACUGGUACAAUGUUAUUGCUCAAAACUUCAGGUUACAAUAGAGUAAAAGAAUUGACCAUAAGUUUUCUUUCUGCAACACAACGAUUGGGUCAACAACAAACAAGUCUAUGCCUAGGAUGUGUAGGUGCUAGUGCAACAAGGAUAUAUCAUAUGCAUAGUCCCAAUCUCACAGGUCUAUGUGCCUCCAAUGGUGAUCCUGCAAAGGAGAAAAGAAUCUCCAUCAUGGAAAAUUUUGUAUUUCGUAUUUGUAUGAUAAACAAUGAGACAUAAGACUAAUUUGCUAGAAAUAGUCAAAUUUUAAAAAUAAAAGAAAAUCAAGUAUAAAAAAAAAUAAUGCAUGUAAAAAAAAUUUGUUAAACAAUAAUUUUAGUGCAAUAAACUAUGACCACUUCAUGCUCUAAGUUGUUGAUCCUAGUUAAAUCUUUUUUUGUUGUUUUUGUCAUUUGUCUAUGCCAUGCUGAACAAGGUAGUAAAAACUGAACCAAUUUUUAAAACCGACUUGUGUGCUCUUUAGUUGGAAAGGAGGCAUUUUGGAAUUUUAGAACAAGUAUAUUCCGUGUAUGAACAAAAGAAUAGUUGCAUUUAAGUUUUUAGUUUUUUCUGUAAAUUUACAGCAGUUCCAUUCGUCUAAUUAGAAUGGGUUGCUUCCAGUAUAAUGAUGGAAUGCUAAAUCUCUGUCAGUAUAAAAUCAUUAUAUGAUUUAAGACAACUGUCUGUUUGAUCUCUGUCAGUGCUCAUGUAUGUGCUAUUCAAAUGAUUUUCUCAGGAUGUCUUUGCUUAUGUUGUGUCUAUAAAUAGGUUGAUCUUGAUAUUUUUGAGCCAUCACUUGCAUUAUACUUUUAUGCCAGCUAUGGAUUCCAUGAAUGGACAUCAUUAUUUGACAUGCAAAAAGUGGCAUUAAAUUUCUGGAUUUUUAUUGGGAGUCGGUUCCUCUAAUAAUUUUCCGUAUUUUGUAGCUGGAAGUCUAUGAUGGUGAGUCUUCUGUUGAAGGUAUGUCUGGAACAAUGCUCUUUGAUGUUGUGAACAGACAGUUUUCUAUCAAGCAAAAAGUUAUGAGACUUCAUUUUUCUUUCUGUAUUCUUAACAUAUUUCUUAGCAAGAUAGAAAAGAAGGCUACCUAAUAAAUAGCAUUACUGAUCCAAUUAAUUUUUUGUUUAAAUGUGUCUAGUUAUGCAAUAUUAAUUCAUGGUUAUGCUGUGGCAAACUUUUUCUUCUAUAGCAAAAUACUAUAAAAGCAACAUCGAACCUGCUUCUUUAUUGAGUAUGUUGAUCACGAAUAGAUAGUUCAUUGCACAUAGAAAAACAUGUUGUACCUUCUUUCUUUUGAAAUAGAUAGGCGUGAUAACAAAAUGAUGUGUCAUGUUGUCAAUUUUGAAAAGAGUAUUGAGUAUUGAUAGUCGGGAAAAAUGGAUCAGAUCGAGUCCAGAUGGGUAAAUAAAAGGAUUAUACUGGCUUGGACCUGGCUGAAGAGCUUACUAGGUUGCUUACCUGUUAAACUGACACAAUAUUUAUGGUUAAAACAUUAUUCUCAUAGCCAUUUUAAAAAAAAAUUGUUCUACUUAGGGCUGGACCUUAGUAUGAAGAGCAUGUCGAUCUCAUCAAACUUUACCAAACAUCCAACUGGUUUAAAAUGGUUGGAACCAGCUCCAUGUAUAAACCUACUUGUUCAUUUUUAAUGGUCUGAUUGGUAGAUAGGUUAGUUUUACCAAAUGUUUCCAGUCAAGGUUUUUGUUUAACCUAUAUAUACCUAAUGAAAUCAUCGUUUCCUAGAUAAGCAAAUUUUCACUGAUGAUGAUAUUUACAUCUGUCUUGAAACUGUUUCGUCUUUCAUUACUUCACUUGCAUCUUACAAGAUGUGAUAACAGAAAAUCAAUCUUUUCUUGAAAUGAUCAAAAGGUUUAUAGGCCGUGGACGUUUUGCAUUGUGUGGACGUUUUGCAAACAAUGCUCGUUCCUGCUUAGACUGUUAUGGAAGUGCUGGCAGUUUGAUUUUGAUACUGUUGGAUGACUUUGCUUCAGGAACAGAAGAAAAUAAAAAUGGGGACGUUGCUGCUGUGAAGAGAACGCCUAAAAAGAAGGAUAAGUCAUCUGCUGGUUCCAAGAAACGGAAAGGUGAUGACUCAGACUCAGACUCAUCAGAGUCCGAAGACAAUGAUGGUGAAGACAGUGAAGAUGAUGAAGAUUUAAAUGGUGAAGCUCAUGGAGUAAAACAGAAGCGGGGAGGGAGGACUUCAGGCCGUGGCCGAGGGCGAGGAAGGGGUGCCAACAAGAUGGCGACAACCGCAAAGAGUUCUGGCAGAGGAAGGGGUCGUCCUAAAAAGAGGGGCGGUUCCAGCAGAUGAUAAUGUUAUGCACUUGAGAUUUCAUACCUGAUUGGAAUUGACAACUCUGGCUCUGACUUGUUAACCUGACUCUCAUAUUUGUUCAACAGUUCCUCCACAGUCUUCGAUGAUACUACUCAUUGCUACAAAUAUGAAUUGCGUUCAUUGGUUAGGAUGUGUUUUGAGGUGGUAGAGAUGCUGUACAUUUUGUUGGUUCAUUAAACUUAAAUUGUUAUUGUUGUUAA